This 539-nucleotide ribosomal RNA is filed under the name Bacteroidetes bacterium oral taxon 281. RNAcentral's name for it is "bacterial SSU rRNA". It matches the Rfam family "Bacterial small subunit ribosomal RNA", at positions 382 to 918 of the family's 1533-position model. Lineage: Bacteria; Pseudomonadati; Bacteroidota. The record is from RNAcentral.
CCUGAUCCAGCCAUGCCGCGUGAAGGAAUAAGGUCCUAUGGGUGCUGGAAACUUCUUUUGACGCAGAGCAAUAAGGGACACGCGUGUUCCGAUGAGAGUAUGCGUCGAAUAAGCAUCGGCUAACUCCGUGCCAGCAGCCGCGGUAAUACGGAGGAUGCGAGCGUUAUCCGGAUUUAUUGGGUUUAAAGGGUGCGUAGGCUGUUGGAUAAGUCAGCGGUGAAAUCACCACGCUUAACGUGUUGUGUGCCGUCGAAACUGUCUGGCUUGAAUGCGCUCGUCGUGAGAGGAAUGUGUGGUGUAGCGGUGAAAUGCAUAGAUAUCACACAGAACACCGAUUGCGAAGGCAUCUCACGAGGGCGCUAUUGACGCUGAUGCACGAAAGCGCGGGUAUCGAACAGGAUUAGAUACCCUGGUAGUCCGCGCUGUAAACGAUGAUGACUAACCGUUGGGUCUGGUAUGGAUCAGUGGUCAGCGAAAGCGUUAAGUCAUCCACCUGGGGAGUACGGGCGCAAGGCUGAAACUCAAAGGAAUUGACGGGG